GCAACAGAUGCCCUCUGUAGUCAGCUUCUCUCAUGUUUUUUCUGUGGACGUUUUUUGAAAAAUGCCCCAAUAAAUGAGUGGAUAUGAACAAAAAAGCAAACAAUUUACAGGGUUUAGACAAAUAUACAAUGAUGGGAGACAUAAUCGAUUCUGACGACAAAGAGAAGUGGAUAUAUUCCAUGCAAAUUAAAUAUCUGGACCAGCAGUUGGAGAGGCUUCAGCUCCGGUGUGACGAGCUGGAGCAGCCCAACAAAGACCUGGCCUCCGGCUGCGUCGCCAUGACGACGGACAAGGCGGACAUCGCCGGGUACCCUGAAGAUUGGCGAAGCUCAGAUGGAGCUGGUGGAGCUGGCGGAGCUGGCGGAGCGACGAUCGGCAGCCAGCGACCGGCAGACAGAGGCCUUGAAGCUGCAGCACAGCCGGCGGGAGACGGAGCUCCGAGACCGGAUCAACGAGCAGAACUCAGACAACACUAAGCUGGCAGCAGCGUUGCCGGAGCAGCUGACGGAGCAGCAGUGUGACGCGGAGGCGGUGAAGGAGAAGCUGGUGUGUCAGAGGGAGGAGCUUGAGCUCACCUGGUUCACCUUGAAGCGGGACGCAGCGUUGGCGUGGCAGAAGAAGCUGCAGGAGUGGCGCCCCACGAAGGAGGAGCAGAUGGAGGAGAUCCAGAACGUGGUCCGGAAGGAGAGGGCUCAGCACCCGGAGCUCCGUCAGAAGGUGCGGGUGCUGGUGGAGGAGGACGGUGCUCUGCUGAAGGAGGUAAUCCAGCUGCAGCAGAGCCCCGUGGAGUCGCAGGCGGAGGACCCGCAGAGACAGGCGGAGGCGCUCAGGGGGAGGAGCCUGGCCUGCAGGAAGGAGCUGGAGGAGAUGAGGAAGACGAGUCACCGGCUGAAGGUGCAGCUGCAGGAUGGUGGCACCACCAACGAGAGGCUGCAGGUGGAGGAAGACGGCCUCAGGCACCUCGUGACCUCUGACACCGAGGAGGAGCGUCAGAGGACGUCGGAGGCCGAGGACCUGAGGGCGGAUCUCCGGAGGGGGAGGAGCAUCUGGAGGAGCCUGGAGGCCGUCCUGCAGGAAGCAGCCGUCCUCCUCAGCCACACCCUGGAGAACUCGGCGAGGACCUCCAGCUAUCGGGAGGAGAUGCUGAGCCUGCGGGAGAUCCUGCAGAGCGCCGCCCCCCAGGGACCAGGACCCACGCUCGAGGAGUUCCACAGAGGACAGAGAUCUCAGACCAGAACUCAGACCCCGGAUCCGUUGUUCCUGAUGGCCCGCUACAGACCCGGCGACCUGGGCCUCGUGCCCCGCCCCUCAUGGAAACAAAACCCCGCCCUCAGUGGGGCCCCGCCCCCUCCCAGCAGGUCUGUGAGGAACGGUUCCUCGUACAGGAGACACGUGUCCUCUCAGUCCAGUCCUGCAGUCCGUCCCUCAGGGAGCUCUGAAGGUCCAGAUCAGAAAUAAGAGGUUGCAUUUGAUUCUGAUGCGUCGGAUUUAUUGAUUCAUACGUUUAAAGCGAUUGAAACAGAAUCCUCACAUCUACAUUUUAUUUAAAAGACAAACGCAUUGAUGCUUUUUAAACUAGUUUCAUACUCACCGAUACAAUAAAGUACGUUAAUAAGAAACGUGGUGAUGAUGCCGUUUGUUUUAAACAUGAGCUGGUCGUCUUCUGAUAAAGAGUUUAAUACUUUUCUAUUGAUACUUUUGUUUCUAAACUAGAAAGAAAAGCAACUAGUUGUUUAAGUGUUUUAUCAGGUUCAUUUGAGGACAAAAGACGUUUGAGAUUCAGCAACAAAAACAAAGUCAACAAUUAUUAAAUUGGGAAUUUAUUAAAGUUCAAACACGGCGACAGUGCAAGCUUUGCUAAAACAGUUAUAAAUAUAUAAAAAUUAUUUUACAUUAUGAGGUAAAACAAACUGGCGAAAUCCUAAAAACACAAAGUGAAUCAGAUUUAAAACACUUUUCUAAUGAACUCGGCGAGAUUUCAUACAAAGAAUCUUUGGUGCUUUCUGGGGAAAAAGUUCCUUCAUGAUCAGAAUAAAUGUUUUAGAUAAAAACGUUGUUGAUUAAACAAUAAUCCAA
Long non-coding RNA from Gasterosteus aculeatus aculeatus (three-spined stickleback), 2076 nucleotides. The record is from Ensembl. Lineage: Eukaryota; Metazoa; Chordata; Actinopteri; Perciformes; Gasterosteidae.